Molecule: transfer RNA, 69 nt
Filed under: Bokermannohyla alvarengai (Santa Barbara treefrog)
Lineage: Eukaryota; Metazoa; Chordata; Amphibia; Anura; Hylidae
Description: tRNA-His
Source: RNAcentral
GUGAAUAUAGUUUAUUUAAAACCCUAGCUUGUGAUCCUAGAAACGAGAACUAACUAUUCCCUAUUCACC